GUUGUGACUCAGUGGUAGAGCACUUGCCUAGCAUAGGUGAAGCCCUGAGUUCAAUCCUCAGCACAACA
This 68-nucleotide transfer RNA is filed under the name Marmota monax (woodchuck). Its description in RNAcentral is "tRNA.Ala". The record is from RNAcentral. Lineage: Eukaryota; Metazoa; Chordata; Mammalia; Rodentia; Sciuridae.